AUUGAACGCUGGCGGCAGGCUUAACACAUGCAAGUCGAACGGUAACAGGGAGAAACUUGUUUCUCUGCUGACGAGUGGCGGACGGGUGAGUAAUGCUUGGGAAUCUGCCUUAUGGAGGGGGAUAACCACUGGAAACGGUGGCUAAUACCGCGUAAUAUCUUCGGAUUAAAGUGUGGGACUUUCGAGCCACACGCCAUAAGAUGAGCCCAAGUGAGAUUAGGUUGUUGGUGAGGUAAUGGCUCACCAAGCUUACGAUCUCUAGCUGGUUUGAGAGGAUGACCAGCCACACUGGGACUGAGACACGGCCCAGACUCCUACGGGAGGCAGCAGUGGGGAAUAUUGCACAAUGGGCGCAAGCCUGAUGCAGCCAUGCCGCGUGAAUGAAGAAGGCCUUCGGGUUGUAAAGUUCUUUCGGUGGUGAGGAAGGUUGUAAUGUUAAUAGCAUUAUAAUUUGACGUUAGCCACAGAAGAAGCACCGGCUAACUCCGUGCCAGCAGCCGCGGUAAUACGGAGGGUGCGAGCGUUAAUCGGAAUAACUGGGCGUAAAGGGCACGCAGGCGGAUACUUAAGUGAGGUGUGAAAGCCCUGGGCUUAACCUAGGAAUUGCAUUUCAUACUGGGUAUCUAGAGUAUUUUAGGGAGGGGUAGAAUUCCACGUGUAGCGGUGAAAUGCGUAGAGAUGUGGAGGAAUACCGAAGGCGAAGGCAGCCCUUUGGGGGAAUACUGACGCUCAUGUGCGAAAGCGUGGGGAGCAAACAGG
This 759-nucleotide ribosomal RNA is filed under the name uncultured bacterium. RNAcentral describes it as "bacterial SSU rRNA". It matches the Rfam family "Bacterial small subunit ribosomal RNA", at positions 28 to 776 of the family's 1533-position model. The record is from RNAcentral.